CCUACGGGUGGCAGCAGUGAGGAAUAUUGGUCAAUGGACGAGAGUCUGAACCAGCCAAGUAGCGUGAAGGAUGACUGCCCUCUGGGUUGUAAACUUCUUUUAUAUGGGAAUAAAAUGUUCCACGUGUGGGUUUUUGUAUGUACCAUAUGAAUAAGGAUCGGCUAACUCCGUGCCAGCAGCCGCGGUAAUACGGAGGAUCCGAGCGUUAUCCGGAUUUAUUGGGUUUAAAGGGAGCGUAGGUGGAUUGUUAAGUCAGUUGUGAAAGUUUGCGGCUCAACCGUAAAAUUGCAGUUGAAACUGGCAGUCUUGAGUACAGUAGAGGUAGGCGGAAUUCGUGGUGUAGCGGUGAAAUGCUUAGAUAUCACGAAGAACUCCGAUUGCGAAGGCAGCUCACUGGUCUGCAACUGACACUGAGGCUCGAAAGUGUGGGUAUCAAACAGGAUUAGAUACCCCUGUAGUC
Molecule: ribosomal RNA, 460 nt
Filed under: uncultured bacterium
Lineage: Bacteria
Description: partial 16S ribosomal RNA
Rfam family: Bacterial small subunit ribosomal RNA
Source: RNAcentral